This 495-nucleotide ribosomal RNA is filed under the name uncultured bacterium. RNAcentral describes it as "bacterial SSU rRNA". It matches the Rfam family "Bacterial small subunit ribosomal RNA", at positions 28 to 509 of the family's 1533-position model. The record is from RNAcentral.
GACGAACGCUGGCGGCGUGGAUUAGGCAUGCAAGUCGGACGGUAGAGCUUUAUCGUAAGAUAGAGUUUGAGAGUGGCGAACGGGUGAGUAACACGUAGGAAUCUACCCUUAAGACGGGGACAACCCAGGGAAACUUGGGCUAAUACCGGAUGAGAGUGCGAGAGAUUGCAUUUAAAAGGAUGGCGAAAGUUGUCGCUUAGGGAUGAGCCUGCGGUCUAUUAGUUAGUUGGUGAGGUAAGAGCUCACCAAGGCGAUGAUAGAUAGGCGGCCUUAACGGGUGGUCGCCCACACUGGGAUUGAGAUACGGCCCAGACUCCUACGGGAGGCAGCAGUCGAGAAUAGUCUACAAUGGCCGGAAGGCUGAUAGUGCGACGCCGCGUGAACGAGGGAGCCUCGGGUGUAAGUUACUUUAUUAUGUGAGCAGUGCUUCUUAUAUUAACAGUAUGGGGAGGAGAGAUAUUAGCAUAUGAAUAAGACAACGGCUAACUCCGUGCC